GUCGUGGCUGCCUCCAUGUCCUGAGUCAGUUCAAAAUGUUUACCUUUCAUGGUCAUCUUGACUUUGGGGUAGAGCCAGGAGCCGGACAUCGCAUGGUGCCAGGUCCAGUGAACCGGAUGGACGAGAAUUCCCUGUGACAUUUGUGAGCCCUCCUUUCUAUUGGACGGCACUCAGCAGCAGCAGAGGUCACCACGUCUUCAUCACACAUUACAAAGAUACACAGGACAGAAGACUUCUCCAGGACUUCUUCGGAGAGUAGCAGGGAUGAUGGGAUGAAUGUGUGUGAAGUGUAUUGGGGCCAAAGAGCAACACAGAACACACAGGACCACGCGGGGCAGGAGGAAGGAUAUGUUGAAGAUUGAACAAGACAAGAAAUAAGAGAGGAAAAAGAUGAGGAAAACACUUACAUGAUACCUGAACCACACGCAUAUGAGAAUCUCAAGAGUUUUGGAACAGUUUUGAGGUUAUGUAUGAUAAAUGAACAACAUAAAAUCAAGCAGAAAAGCCAUCAAGAUGUACAGAAAGAAGGACAGAAGCUUGGUCCUUUAAAAUCUCUGGACUCCUUUGCAUUGAAGAUAAAUAGCAACCAAGGACAGCUUCACCUUAGGAAAGUCCCUUCAAAAACUCUGUUUCUCUUGAUACGGGUGGCAAGAUCAGGGAUCACAUAUGGACACAGAACAAAGAUUUUCCAAGCAGAGGGAAAAGCAGCAUGUGUGGAAGAGUUAUUACUUCCCAGAGAAUAUUUGCCUAUAUCUGCUAACUUUGGAUCAGAAAGAGUCGUGAACUUUCAGCCAAACAAAGAGAAAGGGGGAAUUGUCCUGACCAUCUAGCAAAAUAUGAACUGAAUGAGCCUUCCAAACCCAAGAACAGGGCUCUGCUCACAGGCUCUCUGUGGGAUCAUGGACAGUGACUUGAAAUGCAGGUCAAAAAACAGGAUUGCAAUCAUUUGAGGGUUCAUAAAAUCUUAAAAGAAAAGAAACAGGUGAACAAAAACUCCAUCAUAAAAAAAAAGUCCUGCGGAUGUGAGAAGUGCGCCUGGAGACAUUUCAAACGUCCUUCAUUUCAGCAAAUAAGUAGAUAUAAUCAUAUUUCACAAAUAGGCCUUGCUUCGGGGCAUAGUGAGGGAGGGAUAAACACUCCUAAUUGCAAGUUUAUACACUGGGCAACACAGUCUGGGAAACAACCACUAUUAAAAUAAUUCCCUCAGAUAUAUUUUGAAAACAUGUAAAAUGCAUAUGAAAACACCAGGAAAUACCUUUGAAGGCAGCAAGAGAAGAAAGAAUGCAAGACCGAGGUCCUUAGACUAAAGAUGUGCUAAGAUAGUGCUUACAGGGUGUUCCACUGCCCAGGUCCAUGGUUCUGGACUUCAAGCGACAGAGUCGUGUUUAACGCUCCUUACCCCACAAAUCCUAGAAAAGAGUCUCAUUGCCCCAACGUGAUUUUUCACGCCCUAUCACUUCAACCCAAAAUGAAAUGCAUUUGUUUGCUCAUGGAGCAGUAUGGGGAAUAGCAAAGGUCAGAGCAGUACAGCUGCCAUUAAAACAAAGUAGCUCAAUUAGGUUCUCAUAGUUAGCAGGUGAUGAAUGAAGGGCAAAGAGAAGGCUACACCUCACGUAAUAGGGCGAUAAUAGGAGCCUCAUUUAGGCUGCUCCAUUCCACUUUGGCUCGCAUCAGCUUUUCUAUUACACACGCAACUUUUCAGGAAGGUGAUAAUUCAAUUCAAGAGUAAGGAAAAAUGAAAGGAAAGUAAAUUAACUUUGGACUGAGACUUGAAAAGUAGGUUCAUCACCUGGGCAUGCACAGCCCCCCCCAAUAUGAAAGCAGAUCUCUUUUAAUUCUAAGCAAGAUAAUUGACUGUUCCCUAGCAGUUUUCUUUGCAUCAUGCUUCAUUGCACAGACCUGGCCCUGCUGCUGCUGAAUUUUCCCCUACUUGAAACACAGGAAACCUCUAUUCUAAUAGCACCAAGAAUGGGUUUAUUAAAAGCAGGUCGCCAAGGGUCCUGACUUUCUGCUAAGAUGGUCUCCUUAAGUGUUAAACGAGCACAAAGAAUAGAAAGCACCUCUGUAAUGGAUUAACUAAUGGUCAACUCGUAACCACCCAGCUGAACUGAGUCAGCAUGGUCUGGGAGCAGAGGAUCCACCUGAGGGCUGUUAUCAAACAUCUUGGCCCGCUGAUUUUCUAGGAGAAGCUUACUACAAAUGGUAUUCCUGAUACAAACUAGGCUGUUCUCAUUGGAGGAGGAGGUCGGGGCCUCACUAUCUCUGGGAAUGGCUGCUGUUUUCAUCAGGGGAGCUCUGAUCUUCACUGUCAACUUUUCUUGAGUUGUCUUGGCUUUUCUUCCUACUAGUGGUUUCUCCUUCAUCUUUUUUAGUAUAUGCAGAUGUGUCUAAUGUGCCCUCUUUUGUCAAUGUUAUGGUUUUUUGUUGUUGUUGUUUUGUUUUGGUUUUUUGAGACAGGGUCUCACUAUGUAGUUGAGACUGACCUAGAACUCACUAUGUAGCCUAGACUGGUCUCGAACUCACAGUGAUCCUCCUGCCUCAGCCUCCCAAGUGCUGGGAUUACAGGCAUGAGCCACCACACCUGGCUUCAAUGUUAUACUAAAAAUAUAUAAAAAGUAAGUCUCAAGAGGUGUGCUCAAGACAAUUUCUCUUCAUUCAAUGGAGCCCAGGGAAGCCAAAUGGCUACACACUCCUGAGGGUCUUUACUUCCUUUGUGUACUCUCUUGAGUGUUCAAUCUGUAGCUUCUGCUGGCUCUCAUGUCUUCCCACAAAUGUUCUCCUAAUUGGACCCCUCUCACACCCAACCUGCAACCCACCCUGCAACCACAGGAACUGGAGAUCUUCACGUCUCCUUCCAGGCAAGACUUCAGUGAGGAGCUCAGUGAGACCCAUAUGAGCAGUUUCCUCUUGGAUGGCCCACUGGGACCCCAUACUGUUUCCAAAAAUGGACUCAUUAAGACGCCUCUCAUCCUACACCGCUGGUGGGCCAUUAUGUUUGUGCUGCAUAUUUCAGACUCAUAAAUCUGGCCUUUUUCCUAAUAUUCAACAUUCACCCAUUCGUGUUUCAUCCCUUUGCUUUCACUUUCUUAGUUGAUAAAGUUAAUGCAAAUCCCAUGCUAUCAUUGUACCCUGACUCACAAUACCAUAUCACACUAAGGAAUGUCAUUUCAGUUUUUAAAAUUCACAACUCAAAAUCUACAUAAAUUGUAUUUGUUUGAUAAAUCUCAAAUAAUUUUUAUUUAAUGCUACCUCUUACUCCUGAUUUGUGGGCCACAUAGUUAAGAAACUGGGUGUUCAGGAAAAUUUUUCAUAUAAAGUCA
This is a long non-coding RNA of Fukomys damarensis (Damara mole-rat), 3320 nucleotides long. Lineage: Eukaryota; Metazoa; Chordata; Mammalia; Rodentia; Bathyergidae. The record is from Ensembl.